RNAcentral lists this ribosomal RNA (464 nucleotides) under Peptostreptococcaceae bacterium canine oral taxon 071. RNAcentral describes it as "bacterial SSU rRNA". It matches the Rfam family "Bacterial small subunit ribosomal RNA", at positions 9 to 456 of the family's 1533-position model. Lineage: Bacteria; Bacillati; Bacillota; Clostridia; Peptostreptococcales; Peptostreptococcaceae. The record is from RNAcentral.
GAGUUUGAUCAUGGCUCAGGAUGAACGCUGGCGGCGUGCUUAACACAUGCAAGUCGAACGAAGCGGGAAGGAAGAAGUUUUUCGAAAUGGAUUUUUUCUUUGCUUAGUGGCGGACGGGUGCGUAACACGUAGGUAACCUGCCCUGUGCUUGGGAAUAACUCCGGGAAACCGGUGCUAAUGCCGAAUAAUAUCGCCUGUCGGCAUCGAGAGGCGAUCAAAGAAUUUCGGCACAGGAUGGGCCUGCGCCGGAUUAGCUGGUUGGUGGUAACGGCUCACCAAGGCGACGAUCCGUAGCCGACCUGAGAGGGUGAUCGGCCACACUGGAACUGAGACACGGUCCAGACUCCUACGGGAGGCAGCAGUGGGGAAUAUUGCACAAUGGGGGAAACCCUGAUGCAGCAACGCCGCGUGAGCGAUGAAGGCUUUCGAGUCGUAAAGCUCUGUCCUAUGGGAAGAUGAUGACG